UACGUAGGUGGCAAGCGUUGUCCGGAUUUAUUGGGUUUAAAGGGUGCGUAGGCGGCUUUGUAAGUCAGUGGUGAAAUAUGGCAGCUCAACUGUCAGGGUGCCAUUGAUACUGCAGAGCUUGAGUACAGAUGAGGUAGGCGGAAUUGACGGUGUAGCGGUGAAAUGCGUAGAUAUCGGGAGGAACAUCAGUGGCGAAGGCGGCCUUCUGGUCCAGUACUGACACUCAAGUGCGAAAGCGUGGGGAGCAAACAGG
RNAcentral lists this ribosomal RNA (253 nucleotides) under uncultured bacterium. RNAcentral's name for it is "partial 16S ribosomal RNA". It matches the Rfam family "Bacterial small subunit ribosomal RNA", at positions 524 to 776 of the family's 1533-position model. The record is from RNAcentral.